AGUGAACGCUGGCGGUGUGCCUAACACAUGCAAGUCGAACGGCCGCACAGUAAGCGCUUGCCCUUACGGUUGGCGAGUGGCGGAUGAGUAAGGAGUAGAUCGGAUUCUAAUUUUUCGGGGAGAAUAACGUAGGAAAGGUUACAAUAAUGCCUGAUACUUCCUACCGGUGAGAGCAGGGGAUCUUGGCGCUUUGGCCGUUAGAAUUAGAUGAUGUCGCAUUAGCUAGUUGGCGUGGUAAGGGCCCACCAAGGCGACGCUCCGUAGCCGGUCUGAGAGGAUGAUCAGCCACACUGGAACUGAGACACGGUCCAGACUCCUACGGGAGGCAGCAGUGGGGAAUAUUGGACAAUGGGCGCAAGCCUGAUCCAGCCACACCGCGUGGGUGAAGAAGGCCUUCGGGUUGUAAAGCCCUUUUGUUGGGAAAGAAAAGCAGCAGGUUAAUCUCCCGAUGUUCUGACGGUACCCAAAGAAUAAGCACCGGCUAACUUCGUG
This 492-nucleotide ribosomal RNA is filed under the name uncultured bacterium. RNAcentral's name for it is "partial 16S ribosomal RNA". It matches the Rfam family "Bacterial small subunit ribosomal RNA", at positions 29 to 507 of the family's 1533-position model. The record is from RNAcentral.